RNAcentral lists this ribosomal RNA (455 nucleotides) under uncultured bacterium. RNAcentral describes it as "bacterial SSU rRNA". It matches the Rfam family "Bacterial small subunit ribosomal RNA", at positions 19 to 518 of the family's 1533-position model. The record is from RNAcentral.
CUGGCUCAGAACGAACGCUGGCGGCGGGCCUAAAACAUGCAAGUUGAACGGGUGUAGCAAUACAUCAGUAGCGGACGGGUGAGGAACAUAUGGGAACGUGCCCCAUGGUGGGGGAUAACCUUUGGAAACGAGGGAUAAUACCGCAUAAGCCAUGAGUGGGAAAGAUUAAUCGCCGAGGGAGCGGCCCAUAUUGGAUUAGCUAGUUGGUUAGGUAAGGCUGACCAAGGCGACGAUCCAUAGCCGGUUUGAGAGGAUGAUCGGCCACACUGGGACUGAGACACGGCCCAGACUCCUACGGGAGGCAGCAGUUAGGAAUAUUGGACAAUGGGGGAAACCUUGAUCCAAGCCAUGCCGCGUGAGUGAAGAAGGCCUUCGGGUUGUAAAGCUCUUUUGUAUGGGAAAAUGAUGAUGGUACCAUAAGAAUAAGCACCGGCAAACUUCGUGCCAGCCGCUGC